UACGGAGGGGGCUAGCGUUGUUCGGAAUUACUGGGCGUAAAGGGCGCGUAGGCGGCGCGAUAAGUUGGGCGUGAAAGGCCCGGGCUCAACCCGGGGACUGCGCUUGAUACUGUCGCGCUGUGAGUCCGGGAGAGGAUGGCGGAAUUCCCAGUGUAGAGGUGAAAUUCGUAGAUAUUCGCAAGAACACCAGUGGCGAAGGCGGCUCACUGGCCCGGUACUGACGCUGAUGUGCGAAAGCGUGGGGAGCAAACAGG
Molecule: ribosomal RNA, 254 nt
Filed under: uncultured bacterium
Lineage: Bacteria
Description: partial 16S ribosomal RNA
Rfam family: Bacterial small subunit ribosomal RNA
Source: RNAcentral